UCAAAUCUCCAGUUAUAAAAAAAAAUGAACCGAUUAAAAUGUCUACCUGCUAUAAGGUAAAUACCAUAUCAUUAGGUAUACUACAAUUAAAGAAGAGGGAAAAAUAGGGGAGGACUCGAAAGGUAAAUCAUAUGUGCACAUCUUCAAAUUUAGGAAUGCAUUCAACUUGACCUUCAUACAUCAAUGGAUGACAAGAAUAUACCUGGAGUUCAGCAAAGAAUAGAAAACUAUGAGUAAAUGCAAUUAAUCAGCCAGGCAAAAUAGCAGCCAAUCGAACAGUAUACCCAGGAUUUCAGCAGAUUUUAGAGAGAAU
This 313-nucleotide long non-coding RNA is filed under the name Nicotiana benthamiana. Its description in RNAcentral is "long non-coding RNA (NBEN_LNC022755)". The record is from RNAcentral. Lineage: Eukaryota; Viridiplantae; Streptophyta; Magnoliopsida; Solanales; Solanaceae.